This 459-nucleotide ribosomal RNA is filed under the name uncultured bacterium. RNAcentral describes it as "partial 16S ribosomal RNA". It matches the Rfam family "Bacterial small subunit ribosomal RNA", at positions 338 to 795 of the family's 1533-position model. The record is from RNAcentral.
CCUACGGGAGGCUGCAGUGAGGAAUAUUGGUCAAUGGCCGCAGGGCUGAACCAGCCAAGUCGCGUGAGGGAUGACGGUCCUAUGGAUUGUAAACCUCUUUUGUCAGGGAGCAAAGGGCGCCACGUGUGGCGCUUUGCGAGUACCUGAAGAAAAAGCAUCGGCUAACUCCGUGCCAGCAGCCGCGGUAAUACGGAGGAUGCGAGCGUUAUCCGGAUUUAUUGGGUUUAAAGGGUGCGGAGGCGGAAUGUCAAGUCAGCGGUAAAAUUGCGGGGCUAAACCCCGUCGUGCCGUUGAAACUGGCGUUCUUGAGUGAGCGAGAAGUAUGCGGAAUGCGUGGUGUAGCGGUGAAAUGCAUAGAUAUCACGAAGAACUCCGAUUGCGAAGGCAGCAUACCGGCGCUCAACUGACGCUCAUGCACGAAAGCGUGGGUAUCGAACAGGAUUAGAUACCCGGGUAGUC